UCGUGCUGUUCGCUGGUGCUGAUCAGGGC
This 29-nucleotide non-coding RNA is filed under the name Homo sapiens (human). Lineage: Eukaryota; Metazoa; Chordata; Mammalia; Primates; Hominidae. The record is from RNAcentral.